UCAUCUCCUCCUACUCCGGCUGUGCCAACGCCUGCCUCGUCACCGGUGGCUGUGACUCCGGUCAGCUCGCCACCUGCUCCGGUUCCGGUCAGCUCUCCACCUUUGCUCCCGCCUGCGAAAUCUCCUCCUGUUCCGGCGCCGGCAAACCCCCCCGCGGCUUCUCCUCCGGCUCCGGUUUCUUCGCCUCCUGCAGAGACUCCGGCUGCAGAGGUUCCGUCACCUGCUCCGAGCAAGAAGAAGACUAAGAAGCUCAAAUCGCCGGCCCCUGCUCCGGCGCCGGAGGCGCUGAGUCCUC
Molecule: long non-coding RNA, 295 nt
Filed under: Vitis vinifera (wine grape)
Lineage: Eukaryota; Viridiplantae; Streptophyta; Magnoliopsida; Vitales; Vitaceae
Description: long non-coding RNA (VVIN_LNC002249)
Source: RNAcentral